RNAcentral lists this non-coding RNA (284 nucleotides) under Phascolarctos cinereus (koala). Lineage: Eukaryota; Metazoa; Chordata; Mammalia; Diprotodontia; Phascolarctidae. The record is from RNAcentral.
ACUCCUACAAGUAAUUCUUGCUACUAGAGAGCUGAGGCUAGUGGAUUGCUUGAGCUCAGGAGUUCUGGGCUGUGAUGGGGUUAAAGCUUAUAAUGUAUGCACUAAAUCUGGCACCGGUAUGGUGAGCCUCUAUGCUUUAGGAGUCACAAGGCUGCCUAAGGAGGGAUGAAUAAGCUUAGGUAAAAAACAAAGCCAGUCAAAACUUCCUUGCUGAUCAGUUGGGAUCAAGACUGUGAGCGGCCACUGCACUUUCAGCUUGAGCUGGAUAGGAAGACUCUGUCUUC